This is a long non-coding RNA of Puntigrus tetrazona (Sumatra barb), 2594 nucleotides long. RefSeq lists it as uncharacterized. Lineage: Eukaryota; Metazoa; Chordata; Actinopteri; Cypriniformes; Cyprinidae. The transcript is spliced from 3 exons. The record is from RefSeq and is a predicted model, not a curated record.
AAUGCAUUACGAUAGAUGAAAUCGUGUUUCUUAUCAUUUCCUAUAGAAACAUAAUCUAAAAUUCUUUAUCCUACUGUACCUAAUUUAAUAGCUUUUUGUUUGUUUUUUUAGGCUGAUUUUAUUAAGUGCAGAAUCCCAGGAAGCCUGUUGAUCUGGCGGAGAACAACUGUCUGGCCGAAAGGACAUGUGUGAGGCCGCAGAUCUGCUCUCCUGCAAAAGCGAGAAAAACAAAUUAUGUAAGAUGUCCUGUCGCCCUUCAGCCCAAGGCUGGUUACCCACUGAAGCUACUGUAAGCAGGGAUGAGUCUGCCUGAAGGGGUGAAGAUAUCAUCUGAACCAGUCCACCCGCCACUGUGGUCCCUGACAUCCAGACUCCAGCCAGUUCUCUGUUUGUUUUCCUUUAAUGUCCAUUGAUUUUUCACAUGGGGAAAUAAUCCCUGUGAUGUCGCAUCACAUUUGCUGAUGUUUGAAGACGAUUAUAUAAUGUCUGAUAACAGAAGUGAUUGCCAUACCGCUUUGUUCAAAUCUCUUAAGAAAAGCCCAUCAUUUUAAAUUGAUUGUUCCUCUGAUGCUAGUGGUGGACUUGGUAAAUACAUUCCCACCAUCUUUCAAGUGUCUCAAAGGAAACUGGUUCUGAGAAGAAAUAAAAGAGGUGAGAUGGAAAGAUCAGCGUGUAUACAGAAUGAAAUGUUCUCCGUUUCUUUUUUUGUGCAAUCAAACAUGAGCAUUUGAGUGCAUAGUAUUAACUUGACUUAUAGACUUACAGACCUUUUGAUGGUUUAUUAAGUCUACGUAGAAAACACAUCUUAAAAACAAUAAAAUAUUGCUUUAAAUUUGAUCCCGUGAGCAAGAACGUAGCAAGUGAAUAUGUUAGUUGAAAAUCGGUUUCGUAUGUAUAAGUGAACUAGUUAAAUUAACAAAAUGAAGUGCCCCCAAAUGAACCAUUGAAUUGCCUCUUUCAGAAAGCACUCAUUUCCCAUCGCUUAAUCUGGAAAUCAGCAAAUCUAUAAUUACUACCGUACAGUUUACUCUGUGCUAUAAUUAGUUUACUUUGAAAGCCUCUUUGCUGUUAUGUCUAAAUGCAUAACCAAAGCUGGACAGUUACAGGAGACAGUUACAUUACACAACCUUUCAAAUCUGAGGAGAUGGUAACAUGCUUGGCCUAUUUUCAUUUUAGUUUUCACAUUUAAUAAGAAUUUACAGAUUUCUAACUUUUUAGAUUUUGAGUGUAUAGACAAAUCGAUUCUGAAGCACAUUCACACAGGUUUUGGAGGAGACCUCUGUUAUUUGGGGAACACCCUGCGUGCUGUCAGUCUCGCUGUUUGUUUUGGCUCCUGGGGGCUUCCUGAGUCAAAUGCGUCUCAGGUUUGGAACAAGAACAUAAGUCUGUAAGUUCUACCUUGAAACAGUGUUUGUCUCUUCUUAAAAUAUUACGAUGGAAAGAGUAUCUUACAAGUACAAUGGAUGUUAUGUGUUUAGUUUAAUUCACUUCCAGUGAGCUUGACUUGCACUGUGAUCUAUUGACUUGCAUUGAGACUAAACUGCAAGAUGGUAACAGUGUUUGUUAAUUUUGGAAAGUGUGUUGUUAAUAGAUAAAUUGACAUUUCAUAAACGUUCUUGACCAAAUGAACUUUAACCCAUUUUUGUUUCUUAAUAGUGUGUACUCAUUUACGUGAGAUACACGUGUCGUGACUGAUGGAAAUUGCCCACAAUAACCUUGGGAAAAAUACUGUUUAUAUCUCAUUUCCUCUCGAGUUCCACCUCAGUACAAGUUCUGAAAGUCAAUGACAUACAAUGUUGAUCAAAAAACAUUUCGAAGCCAAUUUUGUCCCCACUCUUUCCAUCUGUAAUACAACUUGGGGUAGCAACACACAGUGAUGACACGUCCUUAACACUUCAGAUGUGUCAACAGGCCCUCAGCAGACAAAACACUGAACAUCUGUCCCGGCAACUCGUUCCCACUCCCACAUACUGCCGCUUGGUCUGAACGAUUUUUCUUCACUUUUUGACGCGCUAGGAACCCCUUUAGUGGAAUUUUUCCACGUGAAGGUCAUCCGUUGUUUUCAAUUGUUUGUCUUAAUUUAAUGAUCUGCAUGCAUUUGUAAAAAAAAAAGGGAAAAAAAAAUAUUGAUAUUCAUUUUAUACUUUUAUUGGAUCACCUAACCCUACUUUUACCCUAAACCUAGCCAUUUCUGACCAAUAUAAAACAAACACAGGCAUAUAGUGUGGUCACGGGUAUUUAUUAUAAAAACUGACAAUAUUAAACAGCGUUAAAGCAUUACGUUGUCGUGUUUCAUUCCAAGUCCUUCUGAAGCGCUGCAAUGUCUUUAUGCAAAGAAGAGAGUAGAACUCGCGGUUUUAACUGCUGAAAAUGAUCCCCGCUCAUAUCUCCUUCCAAAAAAUACACAAGCCAUACAAGGGCCAUACAAGGGCCAAUCGUAUUUCACAACCAAGGCUGACGUAAGGCUUCGUCUGUUCUUCUCACAAAUCAAUCCUUUUGAUUCGGAAGAUUUGGAAUAUUAAUCCUUUUUGAAUAAAUAAUGGUGAUAGUUGUAUCUGCUUUUGAUAACUUGUGUUUUGUUAACCAAUGGUAGG